GACGAACGCUGGCGGCGUGCUUAACACAUGCAAGUCGAACGGUGAUGCUCCAGCUUGCUGGAGUGGAUCAGUGGCGAACGGGUGAGUAACACGUGAGCAACCUGCCCCAGACUCUGGAAUAAGCGCUGGAAACGGCGUCUAAUACUGGAUACGAAACUGGCCCGCAUGGGCAUGGUUUGGAAAGUUUUUCGGUUUGGGAUGGGCUCGCGGCCUAUCAGCUUGUUGGUGAGGUAAUGGCUCACCAAGGCGACGACGGGUAGCCGGCCUGAGAGGGCGACCGGCCACACUGGGACUGAGAAACGGCCCAGACUCCUACGGGAGGCAGCAGUGGGGAAUAUUGCACAAUGGGCGAAAGCCUGAUGCAGCGACGCCGCGUGAGGGAUGACGGCCUUCGGGUUGUAAACCUCUUUCAGCAGGGAAGAAGCGAAAGUGACGGUACCUGCAGAAGAAGCACCGGCUAACUACGUG
This 468-nucleotide ribosomal RNA is filed under the name uncultured bacterium. RNAcentral describes it as "partial 16S ribosomal RNA". It matches the Rfam family "Bacterial small subunit ribosomal RNA", at positions 28 to 507 of the family's 1533-position model. The record is from RNAcentral.